UAAAUAAAUGAAUAAAUAAAUAAAUAUUUCUUGAAUAAGUUCAUGGAUACUGAUACUGGUAAUGGAAGUAUUUAUAACUAAAGACUUCUUUAUAAAUACAAAAUGUCCAAGAGAUGUAUUUGUCAAAUAAUUUUUUUUAAUGGCAUCCUGUUUUCCCAUUUGACAGAAGAAGACAUAAAGGCUGUUUCCAGAGGACUAACAGUUGGAGGCUGGUGGCCUUGAUAGACCCCCAGGUGAGACUAAAACAAACAGCACACCACGCGACCAGCAGACAGCCCGGUCAGCGUUCCUGUAAGAACCUGGGCUUGCAGCAGGCGGAUCAUCGCGGAAUUCGACCUGAAUCCUAGCAUGUUUUGUUUUGCUGAAAGAAAUGGUGUCAUCAUUGUUUUCCAGCAAUUUAUUUUCUUGUGGUAUAAGUGCCCCUGAUGUACAAAAUGACCACAGCCAUCCCUUUUCAUCGUCAAACUCCAGCAAUGGCUGCUUUUAGAAAGAAAUUUCAUGAUGGAUUUUACAUUCUGCAUAUGGGAGAAACAAAUCCGAUAGAAUACAAUGGACUACAUGUGGGUGCUGAGAGCCAGCAUGGGUUCUCUUAGAGCCUGCCACCUGGAAGAAAGUGAUUUCUGAAGAUAGAAGCUGGUUACGUAACGCUGAUGUACAAAAAUGAAGAGAGGAAUCAUGCAGGAUCAUUCAGGCUAGAAAUGCACCUACCUGGGGCUAGAUGUUGCAGGAGAAAGGAGUACAGUGAUAGGAACCUUUGAAGAGCUCAUGACCCUCAGGGCAUGAAGAUAUCAGUUCACAGAAUAUUUUAUCAUUUUCCUGUCUACCAUCUUCCUGCUUUGACUUUGAGGACAUGAAAACAGCUGGGAGAGGGAAGGGGAAGGGGGAGAAGGGAAGCACAAGGCAGUAAAUAAAGGAAGAAACUAAUCAGCCACUCUUUCUCAUUGUAGGCUUUCAGCCUGAAGCAGAACCAAGCUGGGGGAGGAGGAGUUUUACUCUGAGAACUUUUGGUUGGAGAAAAGAAGUGCCAAAGGGAUGAGACCACGCCUGAAGCUCAAAACUGAACCAGACUUAGGGGUGCAG
This 1080-nucleotide long non-coding RNA is filed under the name Homo sapiens (human). RNAcentral's name for it is "HSALNT0343231". The record is from RNAcentral. Lineage: Eukaryota; Metazoa; Chordata; Mammalia; Primates; Hominidae.